RNAcentral lists this ribosomal RNA (254 nucleotides) under uncultured bacterium. RNAcentral's name for it is "partial 16S ribosomal RNA". It matches the Rfam family "Bacterial small subunit ribosomal RNA", at positions 524 to 776 of the family's 1533-position model. The record is from RNAcentral.
UACGGGGGGAGCAAGCGUUGUUCGGAUUUACUGGGCGUAAAGGGCGCGUAGGCGGCCACUGCAGUUCGGUUGUGAAAUCUCCGGGCUUAACCCGGAAAGGUCAACCGAUACUGCAGGGCUAGAGUGCAGAAGGGGCAACUGGAAUUCUCGGUGUAGCGGUGAAAUGCGUAGAUAUCGAGAGGAACACCUGCGGCGAAGGCGGGUUGCUGGGCUGACACUGACGCUGAUGCGCGAAAGCCAGGGGAGCGAACGGG